CAGCAGCCGCGGGAAUACGAAGGGGGCUAGCGUUGCUCGGAAUUACUGGGCGUAAAGGGAGCGUAGGCGGACAUUUAAGUCAGGGGUGAAAUCCCAGAGCUCAACUCUGGAACUGCCUUUGAUACUGGGUGUCUUGAGUGUGAUAGAGGUAUGUGGAACUCCGAGUGUAGAGGUGAAAUUCGUAGAUAUUCGGAAGAACACCAGUGGCGAAGGCGACAUACUGGAUCAUUACUGACGCUGAGGCUCGAAAGCGUGGGGAGCAAACAGGAUUAGAUACCCGAGUAGUCCCUGUCUCUUAUAC
RNAcentral lists this ribosomal RNA (301 nucleotides) under uncultured bacterium. RNAcentral describes it as "partial 16S ribosomal RNA". It matches the Rfam family "Bacterial small subunit ribosomal RNA", at positions 509 to 807 of the family's 1533-position model. The record is from RNAcentral.